Schistosoma haematobium is the source of this 46-nucleotide non-coding RNA. Lineage: Eukaryota; Metazoa; Platyhelminthes; Trematoda; Strigeidida; Schistosomatidae. The record is from Rfam.
GCACUGCUGAAGCGUCCCAUACUAGGACGAAACGGCCGUCCGGUGC